AGUCGUAACAAGGUCUCCGUUGGUGAACCAGCGGAGGGAUCAUUACCGAGUUUACAACUCCCAAACCCAAUGUGAACCAUACCAAACUGUUGCCUCGGCGGGGUCACGCCCCGGGUGCGUCGCAGCCCCGGAACCAGGCGCCCGCCGGAGGGACCAACCAAACUCUUUCUGUAGUCCCCUCGCGGACGUUAUUUCUUACAGCUCUGAGCAAAAAUUCAAAAUGAAUCAAAACUUUCAACAACGGAUCUCUUGGUUCUGGCAUCGAUGAAGAACGCAGCGAAAUGCGAUAAGUAAUGUGAAUUGCAGAAUUCAGUGAAUCAUCGAAUCUUUGAACGCACAUUGCGCCCGCCAGUAUUCUGGCGGGCAUGCCUGUCCGAGCGUCAUUUCAACCCUCGAACCCCUCCGGGGGGUCGGCGUUGGGGAUCGGGAACCCCUAAGACGGGAUCCCGGCCCCGAAAUACAGUGGCGGUCUCGCCGCAGCCUCUCCUGCGCAGUAGUUUGCACAACUCGCACCGGGAGCGCGGCGCGUCCACGUCCGUAAAACACCCAACUUCUGAAAUGUUGACCUCGGAUCAGGUAGGAAUACCCGCUGAACUUAAGCAUAUCAAUAA
RNAcentral lists this ribosomal RNA (611 nucleotides) under Trichoderma sp. 3 AE-2013. RNAcentral's name for it is "eukaryotic LSU rRNA". The stretch from base 230 to 383 matches the Rfam family "5.8S ribosomal RNA". RNAcentral also lists the same sequence under 1 other name. The record is from RNAcentral. Lineage: Eukaryota; Fungi; Ascomycota; Sordariomycetes; Hypocreales; Hypocreaceae.